This 253-nucleotide ribosomal RNA is filed under the name uncultured bacterium. Its description in RNAcentral is "partial 16S ribosomal RNA". It matches the Rfam family "Bacterial small subunit ribosomal RNA", at positions 524 to 776 of the family's 1533-position model. The record is from RNAcentral.
UACAGAGGUCCCAAGCGUUGUUCGGAAUUAUUGGGCGUAAAGGGCGCGUAGGCGGCCUUGUAAGUCAAAGGUGAAAUCCCUCGGCUCAACUGAGGAACUGCCUUUGAAACUGCAAGGCUUGAGGCCGGGAGGGGGUAGCGGAAUUCCCAAUGUAGCGGUGAAAUGCGUAGAUAUUGGGAGGAACACCAGUGGCGAAGGCGGCUACCUGGACCGGUUCUGACGCUGAGGAGCGAAAGCGUGGGGAGCAAACAGG